AACGAACGCUGGCGGCAUGCCUAACACAUGCAAGUCGAACGAGACCUUCGGGACUAGUGGCGCACGGGUGCGUAACACGUGGGAACGUGCCCUUAGGUUCGGAAUAACUCACCGAAACGGGUGCUAAUACCGGAUGAUGCCUUCGGACGAAAGAUUUAUCGCCAUUGGAUGGGCCCGCGUUUGAUUAGCUAGUUGGUAGGGUAACAGCCUACCAAGGCGACGAUCCGUAGCUGGUCUGAGAGGAUGAUCAGCCACACUGGGACUGAGACACGGCCCAGACUCCUACGGGAGGCAGCAGUGGGGAAUAUUGGGCAAUGGGCGAAAGCCUGAUGCAGCAAUGCCGCGUGAAUGAUGAAGGCCUUAGGGUUGUAAAGCUCUUUUAGCCGGGACGAUAAUGACAGUACCGGGAGAAUAAGCUCCGGCUAACUUCGUG
RNAcentral lists this ribosomal RNA (433 nucleotides) under uncultured bacterium. RNAcentral's name for it is "partial 16S ribosomal RNA". It matches the Rfam family "Bacterial small subunit ribosomal RNA", at positions 29 to 507 of the family's 1533-position model. The record is from RNAcentral.